This 483-nucleotide ribosomal RNA is filed under the name uncultured bacterium. Its description in RNAcentral is "bacterial SSU rRNA". It matches the Rfam family "Bacterial small subunit ribosomal RNA", at positions 30 to 507 of the family's 1533-position model. The record is from RNAcentral.
AUUGAACGCUGGCGGCAUGCCUUACACAUGCAAGUCGAACGGCAGCACGGGAGCAAUCCUGGUGGCGAGUGGCGAACGGGUGAGUAAUAUAUCGGAACGUGCCCAGUCGUGGGGGAUAACGUAGCGAAAGCUACGCUAAUACCGCAUACGAUCUAUGGAUGAAAGCGGGGGAUCGCAAGACCUCGCGCGAUUGGAGCGGCCGAUAUCAGAUUAGGUAGUUGGUGAGGUAAAGGCUCACCAAGCCGACGAUCUGUAGCUGGUCUGAGAGGACGACCAGCCACACUGGGACUGAGACACGGCCCAGACUCCUACGGGAGGCAGCAGUGGGAAUUUUGGACAAUGGGCGCAAGCCUGAUCCAGCAAUGCCGCGUGCAGGAUGAAGGCCUUCGGGUUGUAAACUGCUUUUGUACGGAACGAAACGGUGAGCUCUAAUACAGUUUGCUAAUGACGGUACCGUAAGAAUAAGCACCGGCUAACUACGUG